Molecule: ribosomal RNA, 422 nt
Filed under: uncultured cyanobacterium
Lineage: Bacteria; Bacillati; Cyanobacteriota
Description: bacterial SSU rRNA
Rfam family: Bacterial small subunit ribosomal RNA
Source: RNAcentral
GGAAUUUUCCGCAAUGGGCGAAAGCCUGACGGAGCAACGCCGCGUGAGGGAUGAAGGCCUCUGGGCUGUAAACCUCUUUUAUCAAGGAAGAAGAUCUGACGGUACUUGAUGAAUAAGCCACGGCUAAUUCCGUGCCAGCAGCCGCGGUAAUACGGGAGUGGCAAGCGUUAUCCGGAAUUAUUGGGCGUAAAGCGUCCGCAGGCGGUCUUGUAAGUCUGUUGUUAAAGCGUGGAGCUUAACUCCAUUUCAGCAAUGGAAACUGUAAGACUAGAGUGUGGUAGGGGCAGAGGGAAUUCCCGGUGUAGCGGUGAAAUGCGUAGAUAUCGGGAAGAACACCAGUGGCGAAGGCGCUCUGCUGGGCCAUAACUGACGCUCAUGGACGAAAGCCAGGGGAGCGAAAGGGAUUAGAUACCCCAGUAGUC